RNAcentral lists this small RNA (125 nucleotides) under Marmota monax (woodchuck). The record is from RNAcentral. Lineage: Eukaryota; Metazoa; Chordata; Mammalia; Rodentia; Sciuridae.
CCCAGGCGUGGUGGUGCACACCUGUCAUCCCAGCGACUUGGGAGGCUGAGGCAGGAGGAUCGCAAGGUGGAGGCCAGCCUCAGCCAAAGCAAGGCCCCAAGCAACCCAGUGAGACCCUGUCUCUA